This 555-nucleotide ribosomal RNA is filed under the name uncultured Glomus. RNAcentral describes it as "eukaryotic LSU rRNA". The stretch from base 155 to 308 matches the Rfam family "5.8S ribosomal RNA". Lineage: Eukaryota; Fungi; Glomeromycota; Glomeromycetes; Glomerales; Glomeraceae. The record is from RNAcentral.
GGAAGUAAAAGUCGUAACAAGGUUUCCGUAGGUGAACCUGCGGAAGGAUCAUUACUGAUUUAGCGAACCGAGCGUUAGCGAGGUUUUGUGAUCACUUAUAUUUAAAACCCACUCUUUAAUGUAUAAAAUUUGUAUUAAUGAUAAAUUAAAAGAUCACUUUCAACAACGGAUCUCUUGGCUCUCGCAUCGAUGAAGAACGUAGCGAAGUGCGAUAAGUAAUGUGAAUUGCAGUAUUCCGUGAAUCAUCGAAUCUUUGAACGCAUAUUGCACUUUCUGGUAUUCCGGAAAGUAUGCCUGUUUGAGGGUCAGUUAAAUAAAAAUCGGUGUUGUUGCCGCUUUUCGUGGUGACGCGUCGGAAUUGAGUUGUCUUACCUUCGGUUAAGUGACUUAAAAUUUUAUAUGAUUUUCGAACGUAUUUAAAUUUAUUUGAACGUUUGAUAUCGAAUGCUUAUUAGGUUCGGUCAUCCUCAUGACUCGCGCCUAUAAUUUUUCAUUAAAUGACCUCAAAUCAGGUAAGAAUACCCGCUGAACUUAAGCAUAUCAAUAAGCGGAGGA